Molecule: long non-coding RNA, 561 nt
Organism: Lagenorhynchus albirostris (white-beaked dolphin)
Lineage: Eukaryota; Metazoa; Chordata; Mammalia; Artiodactyla; Delphinidae
Exons: 4
Source: RefSeq, a predicted model, not a curated record
GAAUCAUCAGUGAAAAGAGAGAAUGAACAGCUCAAAAACAGGACACCUGAGAGAAUGGAGCCAAUAUGACACUUGGAGGUGAAGAUGCUGACACUUGGGGAAAAUGAUGCUUCCAAACCCCCCACUUUGUAAGGAGAAGAAUCAUGGCUUGAACCCACAUGGCACCAGAUAGAAUGCAGCAUGAAGCUGGAUCCAAAUGGAAGGUCAGUUAGUUGCAGCUCAUCUGUCAGGCGAGCCAGAAAUAUUAAAUCAUUUUCCACCUGAAGAUGCAUCUGUCCCAGAGUUGAACAAGUGCCUAGAGCCAGAGGACUCUCAAGAUCUGGUUUUGAAGAAGCAGCUUUUUCUCCUUUUCCCUGUCUACUUUUGGAUGUGUCAAAUCUUCUUUAACCCAGGAAUGUCUUUCUCAAGAACCUGAGAGCCAUCCCCUUGAAAUGUCAUCAUCAGUACAGGUAGGAAUCCUGUCUCCCAGUCUCUGUAGGAGAGUAGGAGCCUAACUUCAAUAAGCCCUGGUUAGCAGAGAGAGUCUUUUCAAAUUGAACAGUCCCACACCUGCGUUUUGCA